This is a long non-coding RNA of Ornithorhynchus anatinus (platypus), 457 nucleotides long. RefSeq lists it as uncharacterized. The record is from RefSeq and is a predicted model, not a curated record. The transcript has 3 exons. NCBI's taxonomy places the organism in Eukaryota, Metazoa, Chordata, Mammalia, Monotremata, Ornithorhynchidae.
CUACCCCGGUGAUUAGUACAGUGCUUGGCAUCUAGUAAGUGCCUAACGGGUACCAUUUAAAAAAAAAUAGAGUUUUCAUUCUCUGCCACCGGAGCUAAUUCUUCGCCAUCGUGUCACCUCGAAGACUGAGGAGACAGUACCGGGUUUAUCUUCGUUAAGAGAAUAAAUAUCCCUGAUUUCAAGAGAUGAGGCAACUGAGACGCGGAGAAGUGAAGCGACUUGCCAAAGAUCAAGGAGUUUGAUGCUUGCGGAUUCCCGACGUAACCCUGCCAUCUGCCCCAGGGGCUUCGGCGCAGCUGGGUUCUAACAUGUUGAGACCGUCCCAUUCGGGGCUCAGAGCGGGUCUAUUUGGAAUCAAUCAACCAACCAAUCAAUGGAAUUUAUUGAGCGCUAACUAAGAGAAGAGCUCUGUAACACAUGAGGUAAAUGAGGCACAGAGAAGCGAAGUGACGUGCCC